RNAcentral lists this ribosomal RNA (340 nucleotides) under Armadillo officinalis (oak-woodland pillbug). RNAcentral describes it as "partial large subunit ribosomal RNA". It matches the Rfam family "Bacterial large subunit ribosomal RNA", at positions 1954 to 2560 of the family's 2925-position model. Lineage: Eukaryota; Metazoa; Arthropoda; Malacostraca; Isopoda; Armadillidae. The record is from RNAcentral.
AGGUAGCAUAAUCAUUUGUUAUCUAAAUGAUAACUAGUAUGAAUGGUCUGACGAGAAAACAACUUUCUAAAAAGAAAAGAUGAAAAUUUUUUUUAAAGUAAAAAAGCUUUACAACUUUAGAAAGACGAGAAGACCCUAGAACCUAUUCUAUCUAUAUAGUUUGUUGGGGUGACAUUAUUCAAAACAAAUAACUAUUAAAACUUAUUGACUGACUGCAUCUAUCUUUUAUUAAAAAAAAAAAGGUACUCUAGGGAUAACAGCAUAAUCUUCUUCUAGAGCCCUAAUCGACAAGAAAGAUUUUGACCUCGAUGUUGAAUUGAUAUUUCUUUCUAAAGCAGAA